AUUGAACGCUGGCGGCAUGCCUCACACAUGCAAGUCGAACGGCAGCACGGGGGCGAACCCUGGUGGCGAGUGGCGAACGGGUGAGUAAUGCAUCGGAACGUGCCCAGUAGUGGGGGAGUAACUAGUCGAAAGAUUAGCUAAUACCGCAUACGACCUAUGGGUGAAAGCGGGGGAGUUCGCAAGAACCUCGCGCUAUCGGAGCGGCCGAUGUCUGAUUAGCAGUUGGCGGGGUAAAGGGCCCACCAAGGCUUCGAUCAGUAGCUGGUCUGAGAGGACGACCAGCCACACUGGGAC
This 294-nucleotide ribosomal RNA is filed under the name uncultured bacterium. RNAcentral's name for it is "partial 16S ribosomal RNA". It matches the Rfam family "Bacterial small subunit ribosomal RNA", at positions 30 to 319 of the family's 1533-position model. The record is from RNAcentral.